RNAcentral lists this ribosomal RNA (1445 nucleotides) under uncultured organism. Its description in RNAcentral is "partial small subunit ribosomal RNA". It matches the Rfam family "Bacterial small subunit ribosomal RNA". The record is from RNAcentral.
CGAACGCUGGCGGCGUGCUUAACACAUGCAAGUCGAACGGAAAGGCCCUGCUUUUGUGGGGUGCUCGAGUGGCGAACGGGUGAGUAACACGUGAGUAACCUGCCCUUGACUUUGGGAUAACUUCAGGAAACUGGGGCUAAUACCGGAUAGGAGCUCCUGCUGCAUGGUGGGGGUUGGAAAGUUUCGGCGGUUGGGGAUGGACUCGCGGCUUAUCAGCUUGUUGGUGGGGUAGUGGCUUACCAAGGCUUUGACGGGUAGCCGGCCUGAGAGGGUGACCGGCCACAUUGGGACUGAGAUACGGCCCAGACUCCUACGGGAGGCAGCAGUGGGGAAUAUUGCACAAUGGGCGGAAGCCUGAUGCAGCAACGCCGCGUGCGGGAUGACGGCCUUCGGGUUGUAAACCGCUUUCGCCUGUGACGAAGCGUGAGUGACGGUAAUGGGUAAAGAAGCACCGGCUAACUACGUGCCAGCAGCCGCGGUGAUACGUAGGGUGCGAGCGUUGUCCGGAUUUAUUGGGCGUAAAGGGCUCGUAGGUGGUUGAUCGCGUCGGAAGUGUAAUCUUGGGGCUUAACCCUGAGCAUGCUUUCGAUACGGGUUGACUUGAGGAAGGUAGGGGAGAAUGGAAUUCCUGGUGGAGCGGUGGAAUGCGCAGAUAUCAGGAGGAACACCAGUGGCGAAGGCGGUCCUCUGGGCCUUUCCUGACGCUGAGGAGCGAAAGCGUGGGGAGCGAACAGGCUUAGAUACCCUGGUAGUCCACGCUGUAAACGGUGGGUACUAGGUGUGGGGUCCAUUCCACGGGUUCCGUGCCGUAGCUAACGCUUUAAGUACCCCGCCUGGGGAGUACGGCCGCAAGGCUAAAACUCAAAGGAAUUGACGGGGCCCCGCACAAGCGGCGGAGCAUGCGGAUUAAUUCGAUGCAACGCGUAGAACCUUACCUGGGUUUGACAUGGAUCGGGAGUGCUCAGAGAUGGGUGUGCCUCUUUUGGGGUCGGUUCACAGGUGGUGCAUGGCUGUCGUCAGCUCGUGUCGUGAGAUGUUGGGUUAAGUCCCGCAACGAGCGCAGCCCUUGUUCACUGUUGCCAGCACGUUAUGGUGGGGACUCAGUGGAGACCGCCGGGGUCAACUCGGAGGGAGGUGGGGAUGACGUCAAGUCAUCAUGCCCCUUAUGUCCAGGGCUUCACGCAUGCUACAAUGGCUGGUACAGAGAGUGGCGAGCCUGUGAGGGUGAGCGAAUCUCGGAAAGCCGGUCUCAGUUCGGAUUGGGGUCUGCAACUCGACCUCAUGAAGUCGGAGUCGCUAGUAAUCGCAGAUCAGCAACGCUGCGGUGAAUACGUUCCCGGGGCUUGUACACACCGCCCGUCAAGUCAUGAAAGUUGGUAACACCCGAAGCCGGUGGCCUAACCGUUGUGGGGGAGCCGUCGAAGGUGGGACUGGUGAUUAGGACU